This 497-nucleotide ribosomal RNA is filed under the name uncultured bacterium. RNAcentral describes it as "partial 16S ribosomal RNA". It matches the Rfam family "Bacterial small subunit ribosomal RNA", at positions 28 to 507 of the family's 1533-position model. The record is from RNAcentral.
GAUGAACGCUGGCGGCGUGCCUAAUACAUGCAUGUCGAGCGAACGGACGAGAAGCUUGCUUCUCUGAUGUUAGCGGCGGACGGGUGAGUAACACGUGGAUAACCUACCUAUAAGACUGGGAUAACUUCGGGAAACCGGAGCUAAUACCGGAUAAUAUUUUGAACCGCAUGGUUCAAAAGUGAAAGACGGUCUUGCUGUCACUUAUAGAUGGAUCCGCGCUGCAUUAGCUAGUUGGUAAGGUAACGGCUUACCAAGGCAACGAUGCAUAGCCGACCUGAGAGGGUGAUCGGCCACACUGGAACUGAGACACGGUCCGGACUCCAACGGGAGGCAGCAGCAGGGAUUCUUCAGAAAUGGGCAAAGGCCAGACGGAGCAACGCGGGGGGAGGAAAGAAGUUCUUCGGAUCGAAAAACUCUUUUAUGGGGAAAAAAAAUAUGUGUAAUUAACUGUCCACACUUUGAGGAUCCCUAAUAGAAAGCCCACGGCAAACCCCGUC